Jaculus jaculus (lesser Egyptian jerboa) is the source of this 75-nucleotide non-coding RNA. The record is from the annotation of a RefSeq genome assembly. NCBI's taxonomy places the organism in Eukaryota, Metazoa, Chordata, Mammalia, Rodentia, Dipodidae.
GCCAGCUAGCUCAGUUGGUAGAGCAUGAGACUCCUAAUCUCAGGGUUGUGGGUUCGAGCCCCACAUUGGAUGCCA